Long non-coding RNA from Sander lucioperca (pikeperch), 553 nucleotides. RefSeq lists it as uncharacterized. The transcript is spliced from 3 exons. The record is from RefSeq and is a predicted model, not a curated record. Lineage: Eukaryota; Metazoa; Chordata; Actinopteri; Perciformes; Percidae.
CUUACGGUGGAGUCUCUAACGUCAUCACCGGCAGCCAUCUUGUCACAGUCAAGCUUUCUUGCGGGCUCUGUGGUACCUGAUGUAAGGUUUCCCAAAACCGGAAAGAUGAGGAGGCAGUGGGAACUUGCUCUAAGAAGGGACGGUUUUGUUGUCUCUGACAGGACACUGCUCUGCAGUGAGCACUUCAGGAGUGAGGACUUUGACAGAACGGGGCAGAAUGUCCGGCUUAAAGAUGGUGUUGUGCCAACCAUUUACAACUUUCCAGCUCAUCUUCAAAGUCUGGUAGCAACAAGAAGCACAACCACCUCUAGAAGAGCGGAAAACAACCUGCCAACGGACUUGUCUCAGGAUGCACCUCAACCUGAUGUUGUGAGUAUUUGCAUGUGGAAUAUCAAACAAAUGAGAGCAUCAUAUGGCUUAUUAUAUUAAAUCCUUUAUCUUGGUGGUACCCAGAAAGGUCUAUGAUGGUGUUAGUAGUCUAAGAGCCCAAUAUUAUUUGAGGUGGUACUCUGUGUAAAAAGUUUGAGAACUACUGGCUAUCUCACUUGCUCUG